AUUUAUAUAAUUUAAUUUUAAAAUAAUACAUUUUCAUUGUAAAAAUAAAACUACUAUUUUUUAUAAAUA
Molecule: transfer RNA, 69 nt
Filed under: Diptera sp. 69 LC-2017
Lineage: Eukaryota; Metazoa; Arthropoda; Insecta; Diptera
Description: tRNA-Glu
Source: RNAcentral